GACGAACGCUGGCGGCGUGCUUAACACAUGCAAGUCGAGCGGUAAGGCCCUUUCGGGGGUACACGAGCGGCGAACGGGUGAGUAACACGUGGGUGACCUGCCCUCAGCUCUGGGAUAAGCCUGGGAAACUGGGUCUAAUACCGGAUAUGACUCCAUGACGCAUGUUGUGGGGUGAAAGCCUUGUGCGGCUGGGGGAUGGGCCCGCGGCCUAUCAGCUUGUUGGUGGGGUGAUGGCCUACCAAGGCGACGACGGGUAGCCGGCCUGAGAGGGCGACCGGCCACACUGGGACUGAGACACGGCCCAGACUCCUACGGGAGGCAGCAGUGGGGAAU
RNAcentral lists this ribosomal RNA (333 nucleotides) under uncultured bacterium. RNAcentral describes it as "bacterial SSU rRNA". It matches the Rfam family "Bacterial small subunit ribosomal RNA", at positions 28 to 362 of the family's 1533-position model. The record is from RNAcentral.